UAUCCCGAUGCACAGCAAACGUAAAAAUAGUGAAUACGAAGGUGAAUAGACUUGGUUUGAAUAUUGCUGGUAUAUUUAUGAUCAAGUAUUAUUAUACCAAGCUAAUGUAAUGAUAUAUUACAAUGGAACGAGGCAAAUAGUUACCAUUCAACAAUUAUGGUAUUUAUUUUUUCACCUUUCGACCUUUAUUAUUAAUUGAAUUCUAGUCUUUAUUACUAUCAGAAAAUAUAGAAAAUUGAUAUUAUUUUUAUCUCGAAGUGUUAUUCUCGAGAAUCGUGGAAAUGACGAAAUUUCGUUAUUAUGAAAUUCUGUAUAUACGAACCUCACAUAAAUAACUAUAUAGAUACUUGCUGGGUGCAUUUUAUCUACAGCUGCCAAACAUUACAGAAGAUUGCGUCGCCUUCUUUUCCAAGAAUCUAUAAUUUCUUCAAAGACCAUUUUCCCAGAACGUAUGUGCAUUAUAAUAGGUUAUAUGAUUCUCACAAUCAGUACAAGAGGUAUGAAAAGAGAAGUUAUCUAUUCUCGAACAUUUUAUUAUAGAAGCUUUGUUUGCAAUUUUCAUCUUUUCAUUUAAGAAAGUGGUAUUUUGUAAUUUUUCUUUAUUUUAGUGAUAUAUAUAUCAAACAUAGCUACUAUAAUCCUUUACAACUUUUCAAGAAGAAAGAAGUAGUGUUGUAACGACCGACUCAAUCAAAAGCCACGAAGCGAGAGGUCCAGAAGCAGACGAGACGAUUCAACGAGUAAACGAUUCAAAGACCCCAAUGAUUAAAGGGAUACAAACGAUAUCAAUUAAUUGCUUGGCUUCUAAAUACACUGUUAGAUCAAGCGUAUCAUCGAUUCUGUUUCUACAGAGCAGGUGUUAACAUUUAUUACAACUUAAGAUAUCCUCGGUGUUACGUUGUAUAAUUUAACACAGAUUUUCGUAAAAUACGAUGUUUGUAAUCAAUAUUGACGUGAUCGGUCGAUACUUGGAAAUUUCAACUUUUUUAAACAUUGUAAGCGUUUAUGCUCUAUCAAUCUUGAGCCGAACGUUAUGUAAAGGUGAUUCAGAUCGAUUAAAGAAAUCAAUUACAAACGACUAGUUGCAAACACAGGAUCGACUAAUUAAUGCCAUAUCCGUUGUUACGCAAUGAUCAUUUGAAGCCAUUGUGUCCUUUUAAACAGCGAGAUGAAUAAAUAUAAAAUAAGCUGUACUCCAAUAUUCGCUUAUAAUACUAUAUCUUUAACACGAUAGAAGUAUCAUGCAUCAAAACUUCGUUCUCAGACAAUAUUUUUAGAAAUAUCAUUUUUAUACUAUAUCAAUAUUUUCGAUUUGCAACGAACGAAUUGAGAGAGACGAAGUUUAGGCGUUCAAUCUUUCCGAAGAUUGAACGUCGGAGAAUACAAAUCUGUCUAUUUCGAACAUUGAUCGAUACUUCAUUAAUUAUUAAUGAACGCCUCUUACACUUUCGAUUGGACGAGCACACCGCUGUCUGCUGUAGGCGUAGUUUCCUUUCGAUCAAUAAUUUAUGCCUGGCUACUUAAUUGAGUUCUGAUUUUGGACAGAGUUACGUGCAUAUUUUACAUUAAUUAUAAAUCGAAGGUUCGUUACCGUGCAUAGCGUAUUAAUAUUGUCACGAACGAAAUAAGAUGGAAUCGAAAAUAGAAUGCCUGCUUGGGAAUUCCCAGGAUCACCAGAUACUAAUAAGAAGAAAAAACUGGAUCGCUGUUUUUGCCAGUGAAUUUACCGCUGAAACACUGAGUCAGCGUAUUACAAUUUUAAUUAUCAAAAAGACACGAUGCCGAAAGAAAUCCAGCAGCUUAAUCAUUCCUGCGAUUCUAAUUUUCUGACAGGAAGCGUAGAAAAAGAGGUAUGAGAAAAUACACGUCAACUAUUACGAAGGAAAAAUACAUGAAGAUGUAAAAUGCAAUUUAUGUACAAAGAGAACAUUAUAUAUACGUUGUACAGAUCUUUGCUAUUGUAAAUGUUCCAUAUCGUAUAAAAGAGUGCAAUUUAGCUAUAAUAUGAGUCGAACGAUUAAACUGAAUUUUUAUUCGGCAGGUUGUAAUGACGAGCAUGAAUGCAAAUGAUAGCGGGUUCGCGUGAGUCAUAUCCGGAAUUAAUUCUUCUGCCAUCUCGAUGUCGACACGUGACAAAUUUACCGCUAAUCAAUCUUGCGCAGCUAUAUUUUUAAACCGCGUUAUUCACAAAACGAGCUCGGCUUAUGCAAUUCUAUUAGACAUACAGCAAUUGAACGAAAUUAAUCUUUCAAAUAAGAUUCGUAUCGCUGCAAUUAUAUUUCAGAAAGGAAGCAAGAAAAAUAGGUAUUUUCGUGUAGUAUAAUUCAUGUAAUAAUUCAUAAUAAUGUGUACCUCGGGCUUGAAUUUUCUUUCCCUGCAUACUCUUAUCGGAUAAUGAUAAAUUGAGUACCACGCUUGUUCUGAGAAAAGUUACAGCACCGUUGGAAAACGGCAGGAUGAUACAAAAGCUACACCUAAAAGUCAUCGCUAAAUGUAGAAAGAAACGAUAAUAGGAAUUAUCAAUAGAGCAUUGUAUUUUUGUGUGAAUCGUUUAAUAAGCAUAAGCAUAAGUCUCGUUCCGUUCACGUUAUGGUAUUACGAUGUUGCAGUAAUAGUAAUAGUAAUAAGAAGUAUAGCAAGUAUUUCUACGUUAAUGUUACAAUUGCUGACAUAACGUUAACGUGCUAAAAAUAUAGUAUCGAGAUCUUUUUGCCUUUGUAUCGAUAUUUUUAUCUUAUACGUGGAUAUGUCUGUAGACAGGAAAUCAAUAUGACAACAUCGUAUACAAAAGAAAAUGAAGCAAGUCGAAACAAAAAGAGUAAAUAAUGACACGUGGCAAGUAACGUGUAGGUAGUGUACUUGGUUCAACUUGAACAGAAAAAGCAACAAACAAGAACAUCGGGGAUAAAGUUAGCCGUUUAGAUACUUGAAAUUUUACUGUCGAAAAAAAGUAAAACCAAAAGACGAAAAGAAAUAUUAACCGGUUGAAUAUGGAAUAUCGUCAUUGAAAAAUAUAAGAUAAACAGAGAAUUACAGCAGCACAGAGAGGCAAACAAAGUAUAGAAAACGCGCAUUUCGCGAGGAUCUUGUGAGAAACGUUGAAACGAUCUGAUCGCAGAACGUAUGAUAUUAAUAGCAAUAAUCAACGAAUAGAAUAUGCGAUAUUAAAAAAUUAUGUUUUGCAUGCUAAUUUGAAGGAGCGAUACUGCGAUCUUGUAUGCAAUUAAGGGAUUAAUUAAAACGAAUUUAUGAACGUUAAUCAAUGAACGAUAAUUUUUUUCCCUGUUAAAUUAUAACGCGCUUAAUGAUAUGCAUUUGGACAUUUAAUA
Bombus pyrosoma is the source of this 3329-nucleotide long non-coding RNA. RefSeq lists it as uncharacterized. The record is from RefSeq and is a predicted model, not a curated record. The transcript has 3 exons. NCBI's taxonomy places the organism in Eukaryota, Metazoa, Arthropoda, Insecta, Hymenoptera, Apidae.